CCGAGACAGCACUGUGUGAGACAAUCCGUUUUCCUUUUGCCUGGCUCUUGUCAGUGAAAUAUGAUGGCCACAGAUGUGCCCAAAUUUGAAGAAAAAUAAUCUUUUACAUCUUGUAUGUGGAAUGUGGUCUUUCACCGUAGGAACACCAAAUAACCAGUGCAACGUUUAAGUUUCAAGCCUGACAUUGUUCACUCUGCCAGCCUUUUGAAAGCCUUCUUUUAUUAAGAGCCAGGUUUCCCACUGCUCCCCUGUGUGAGGGGAGGUGCCUCGCUGGUGCUAAGUCUGCAGGUAGGUACUUAUGAGCAGUGGGCAGAUCCACAUUCCUGCUUCACCCACCCUUCCACUCUGCUCUCCAGAAACAAAGGUGCAUGACACAGCAGUGCCAGAGAUGUUCACAGCCACUCCAGGACAGAGGAGGACCUCCUGUCUUCCAGCACUGCUCCUGGGAAAGCUCUGCCUGAGGCACGACAGAGUGAGGAAAAAGGCAGCCUGGUUCCAGCCAGGGAUGGAAAUUAUUCUGGCAAGGUGUUCGUGAACCAGAAGGUGAAAACCUGUUGGUGUCAGCAGGAGAAAGAGACUAAGAGGCAGAUGGUGUCAGUUAAAAAAGCUGGGAUCACAAGUCUGCUUCUUUUCUGAAUGAUUAUCAGGUACCCUGAUUGUGGGUUUUGGAGUAGUUAAGGCAGUCGUUUAUUCGGGUUCAUGUAAUUCUGCUCCUCUUACAGAUGGCUUUGUAACAUUCCUUUCUCAGUAGGAUGAGAGACUGAUGCCUGAAGAGAUGCUGGGUGAAUUAUAUACACUUGAGAAGGCUCUUCACACACAUGGAAUGAACACAAAGCUGAUGGAAGUGGCUGACUGUGGCUGCUAAGGGGAGUGUGGUGACCGGUCCAGGAGGAUCAAAGGGAUGGGAAUGCAGCAGAGGCUUCAGCUGACAUUGGGAAUCAUGGGACAGACCCUUUUGUUGAGUGGCAUUGCUAUGCGAACCGGUGUGAUUGUGGUGGUGGAUGUCACACAGACAUCUUCCAUCUGAUGUGACAAAAAACUACUCUGCUUUCUCCCUGCCUCACCGACAUAGAAAGUCAC
RNAcentral lists this long non-coding RNA (1080 nucleotides) under Gallus gallus (chicken). Its description in RNAcentral is "lncRNA (ENSGALG00010010532.1)". Lineage: Eukaryota; Metazoa; Chordata; Aves; Galliformes; Phasianidae. The record is from RNAcentral.